Molecule: RNase P RNA, 455 nt
Filed under: Croceicoccus marinus
Lineage: Bacteria; Pseudomonadati; Pseudomonadota; Alphaproteobacteria; Sphingomonadales; Erythrobacteraceae
Description: RNase P RNA component class A
Rfam family: Bacterial RNase P class A
About the family: Ribonuclease P (RNase P) is a ubiquitous endoribonuclease, found in archaea, bacteria and eukarya as well as chloroplasts and mitochondria. Its best characterised activity is the generation of mature 5'-ends of tRNAs by cleaving the 5'-leader elements of precursor-tRNAs.
Source: RNAcentral
CUGGGGAGCCGGGCAGCCGCGUCGGGGAAACCCGUACGAGGAAAGUCCGGGCUCCACGAAACAAGGAUGGCGGGUAACGCCCGCCCGGCGAGGAAACGGCCGUCCGUCAGGGCGGCACGUCCGAAGCCGAGGGACAGUGCCACAGAGAGCAAUCCGCCGAUGGUCCUCAGGUCGAAAGAUCGGGGGACACAGGCAAGGGUGAAAGGGUGCGGUAAGAGCGCACCGGGGAACCGGCAACGGCGACCGCAUGGCAAACCCCAUCCGGAGCAAGACCGAAUAGGGGCGGCGCGCCCGGCCGAAAGGUGCAGGGCAGGGGUGUUUCGCCCCGUGACCGCCCGGGUUGGUUGCUUGAGCCUUGCGGCAACGCAAGGCCUAGAUGAAUGGCUGCCCUUGCGGGGCUGGUGUCUUACAUACCGCCCGCAUGACAGAACCCGGCUUACAGGCUCCCCGGCGCA